This 433-nucleotide ribosomal RNA is filed under the name uncultured bacterium. Its description in RNAcentral is "partial 16S ribosomal RNA". It matches the Rfam family "Bacterial small subunit ribosomal RNA", at positions 29 to 507 of the family's 1533-position model. The record is from RNAcentral.
AACGAACGCUGGCGGCAUGCCUAACACAUGCAAGUCGAACGAGACCUUCGGGUCUAGUGGCGCACGGGUGCGUAACGCGUGGGAACCUGCCUUUAGGUUCGGAAUAACUCAGAGAAAUUUGAGCUAAUACCGGAUGAUGUCUUCGGACCAAAGAUUUAUCGCCUUUAGAUGGGCCCGCGUUGGAUUAGCUAGUUGGUGGGGUAAAGGCCUACCAAGGCGACGAUCCAUAGCUGGUCUGAGAGGAUGAUCAGCCACACUGGGGCUGAGACACGGCCCAGACUCCUACGGGAGGCAGCAGUGGGGAAUAUUGGACAAUGGGCGAAAGGCUGAUCCAGCAAUGCCGCGUGAGUGAUGAAGGCCUUAGGGUUGUAAAGCUCUUUUACCCGAGAUGAUAAUGACAGUAUCGGGAGAAUAAGCACCGGCUAACUCCGUG